AGUGAACGCUGGCGGUAGGCCUAACACAUGCAAGUCGAACGGCAGCACAGUAAGAGCUUGCUCUUACGGGUGGCGAGUGGCGGACGGGUGAGGAAUACAUCGGAAUCUACUUUUUCGUGGGGGAUAACGUAGGGAAACUUACGCUAAUACCGCAUACGACCUACGGGUGAAAGCAGGGGAUCUUCGGACCUUGCGCGAUUGAAUGAGCCGAUGUCGGAUUAGCUAGUUGGCGGGGUAAAGGCCCACCAAGGCGACGAUCCGUAGCUGGUCUGAGAGGAUGAUCAGCCACACUGGAACUGAGACACGGUCCAGACUCCUACGGGAGGCAGCAGUGGGGAAUAUUGGACAAUGGGCGCAAGCCUGAUCCAGCCAUACCGCGUGGGUGAAGAAGGCCGUCGGGUUGUAAAGCCCUUUUGUUGAGAAAGAAAAGCAGCAGGUUAAUACCCCGCUGUUCUGACGGUACCCAAAGAAUAAGCACCGGCUAACUUCGUG
RNAcentral lists this ribosomal RNA (492 nucleotides) under uncultured bacterium. RNAcentral describes it as "partial 16S ribosomal RNA". It matches the Rfam family "Bacterial small subunit ribosomal RNA", at positions 29 to 507 of the family's 1533-position model. The record is from RNAcentral.